GACGAACGCUGGCGGCGUGCUUAACACAUGCAAGUCGAACGGAGUGGCGACCGGGUGAGUAACACGUGGGUGACCUGCCCUGCACUUCGGGAUAAGCAUGGGCAGCUGGUUCUAAUACCGGAUAGUGUGGGAUGGGCCCGGGGCCGAUCAGCUUGUUGGGGGGGUAAGGGCUGACCAGGGGGGCGACGGGUAGCCGGCCGGGGAGGGUGGACGGCCACAUUGGGACUGAGGCACGGCCCAGACGCCUACAGGAGGCAGCAGUGGGGAAUAUUGCACAAUGGGCGGAAGCCUGAGGCAGCGACGCCGCGUGGGGGAUGACGGCCUUCGGGGUGUAAACUCCUUUCACCAUCGACGCGGUAGAUGGAGAAGAAGCACCGGCUAACUACGUGCCAGCAGCCGCGGUAAUUC
This 408-nucleotide ribosomal RNA is filed under the name uncultured bacterium. RNAcentral's name for it is "partial 16S ribosomal RNA". It matches the Rfam family "Bacterial small subunit ribosomal RNA", at positions 28 to 526 of the family's 1533-position model. The record is from RNAcentral.